AGAUUGAACGCUGGCGGCAUGCUUUACACAUGCAAGUCGAACGGCAGCACGGGGGCAACCCUGGUGGCGAGUGGCGAACGGGUGAGUAAUGCAUCGGAACGUAUCCUUAAGUGGGGGAUAACGCAUCGAAAGAUGCGCUAAUACCGGCAUAAUCUCUGAGGAGAAAGCAGGGGAUCGCAAGACCUUGCGCUUUUGGAGCGGCCGAUGUCUGAUUAGCUAGUUGGUGAGGUAAAGGCUUACCAAGGCUUCGAUCAGUAGUCUGGUCUGAGAGGACGACCAGGCCACGACGUGGGACUGAAGACACGGCCCUAGACCUCCGUACGGGAGGCAGCAGGUGGGUAAUUUUGGA
Molecule: ribosomal RNA, 349 nt
Filed under: uncultured soil bacterium
Lineage: Bacteria
Description: bacterial SSU rRNA
Rfam family: Bacterial small subunit ribosomal RNA
Source: RNAcentral